Molecule: long non-coding RNA, 391 nt
Filed under: Stegodyphus dumicola
Lineage: Eukaryota; Metazoa; Arthropoda; Arachnida; Araneae; Eresidae
Description: uncharacterized LOC118204091, transcript variant X1
Source: RNAcentral
GUCUGUUUUUGAUCCAUGUGCGCAAUGGCAAAUUUCAGGUUAUUCGUCAAAUAACCAAGGUUUCUAUUUCUCUGAUUAAUGCAGUUUAUUUGACAGAUGUGUAAUGCUGUUUGUUGAAAAAUGCAUUAGAACCAAUGAUGGUAAGAUCUUGGCCUAGCAAAUUGGUAAAAUAUUACCUGCUCUUAAUUACUGAAUCAUAUUGUAGGAUAAAAUCUGCUGUUUAUGUAUGAAAAUUUGUACUUUAUCUCUGAUUAUGUGGUAUAUGCCCAGAAUUUCAUUAUUAAUGAUCGAUUCAUUAAAAUUACUAUUUUUAAUUGUCUACUUUGUUUUGUGUUGCUGCUGCUCAUUCUGCAUUUUUUUUUUUUUUUUUUUUGAGUAGAUAUAAAAAUUA